GAUGAAGAACGCAGCGAAAUGCGAUAAGUAAUGUGAAUUGCAGAAUUCAGUGAAUCAUCGAAUCUUUGAACGCACAUUGCGCCCUCUGGUAUUCCGGGGGGCAUGCCUGUUCGAGCGUCAUUAUAACCACUCAAGCUCUCGCUUGGUAUUGGGGUUCGCGGUUCCGCGGCCCCUAAAAUCAGUGGCGGUGCCUGUCGGCUCUACGCGUAGUAAUACUCCUCGCGAUUGAGUCCGGUAGGUCUACUUGCCAGCAACCCCCAAUUUUUACAGGUUGACCUCGGAUCAGGUAGGGAUACCCGCUGAACUUAAGCAUAUCAUAAGCGGAGGA
This 328-nucleotide unclassified non-coding RNA is filed under the name soil metagenome. Its description in RNAcentral is "partial contains 5.8S ribosomal RNA, internal transcribed spacer 2, and large subunit ribosomal RNA". The stretch from base 1 to 120 matches the Rfam family "5.8S ribosomal RNA", at positions 35 to 154 of the family's 154-position model. The record is from RNAcentral.